AGUUGUCUAUCUCAUGGUUUGUAUUUUUACUUUUCUAUAGCUUUCACCUCAACUAGGUAUAAACUCCUUGAGAGUCAUCUUUGAUAUAUCUUGUUGACAUGGUUUAUUAGAGAAGGAGAUGCAUAAGUAAGCUAACUGGCAUUGACCCUUUUUUUUUUAAUUACAUGAUAUGUCUCAAGACAAAGUAGGUCACUAAGAAGAUAGGAAGAUAGGGAUGGAGGUCUUAGCAAUGCAUAAGAGAUGUGCAAACAAGAGCACAAUGUUCCACCUCUUUUCCAGAAUGGUGAUGAUCUGGCAUGAUGCUCCAGCUCUAUCUGAACAAAGUGGCUCCUUUCACUUCAGCAACCCAAGAUUGUGGAAGGUACUCAACGGGACACUGAAACUUUUCAAGAUGUGAUGGUUCUAUUAGACUCCUUUGUGAGUGUGUAUACUUCAGUCUCAAGUGUUUCAUUGGAGAGAAGAAUUAAUUCCCUUUCCGUGGAAGGAACUCUCCCACCAGGCACAGGAUGCAUUCUGCCCGAACCUGACAGAUCCAUCAUGUUCCUACUGGAUCGAUAUGGGCCUCAGUCUUGCCGUCACCGUGGCUUGCGUUCAGUGUCAGUAAUUCUCAGAUUGCUUACCUACAGAUGCAGUGAGGGGGAACCAGUGACCGCAUAGAGCCCCCGGCUUCUUACUGCCAUACACAAUUAUUGGAAGAGAGGAGUGCAGGCCCAGGGAUGGCACCAGAAGGAAUGUGGUUUUUCUCUUCAUUAUGCUCUCGAUAAAAUCAGAUGGUAUUCCAUCAACCAACUUUUUCAACGGAGGUUUAUAUCACCUUGCUGAAAAAUAUGUGCCAAGUGCAUGGCCACUGACAGGGAAAGUCUGCGUCUUCCAUGCGUGCAAGCAAGAUUUUCCAUCCAUUAACUCUGUUCUCUAUGCUGAAGAUCUUGUUGAUGGCAAACGAAAUAAUACCCAAAUGUAUCGGCUCUUUCAAUGCUAUUGAAAGACCACCGCAAAACCACCCAAAUGUGGGUUUCGGGCACGCGUGCCUGUUUUCAGACACGCUUGCAUUUAGCACAAGCAAAUGCUAAAUAGUUAUGCAUUAACAAUACGCUUCGUAUAUCAGCGAUACUCUCUCUUUCGGUUAAUGAUAUGAUGACUAUGUAACAGGCGGUUUACUUGCUCACUUUCAGAUUUCCAAAGAAAUGCACCGAUUGAAUAUAAAAAUAGAAAGAAAAAAAUGUUUGAAAUGAGAGAAGAGAAAAAUCCAAAUACCAGGAAGUUUAAAGCAUUUCUGCUGGAUCCACUUUAUUCAAGAUAGAGCAAAUUUCAGGACUGGGAUGUGACUCUUCUCACGGGAAGGGCAUGCAUACCGGAAAGGAAAGGGAGGAAACCUGGCAGAACGCUGCUGGUAUUUCUGAGGGCGUGAGAUAUGUGUGUGCAUGCUUGUGUGUGCGUGCGUGUGUGUGUGAGAGUGAGAAAGAGAAUGAGAGAGAUGUUAGGGGAAGCAUGUGGCUUGGGGGACAUGGGAAAAUCAAGAGAUCUGAGUGAGUGCAUCUGGGUCCCGUUAGGGACCGGAAAGUGAUUCUGGUUCUAGGUCAAGCCUGAAGAUUAUGCAGAUAUUAUUUGCAUGUUUACACCUAAUGUGGUUCUUUAUUAUAAUAUUUAUUUAUUUUUGAGAGAGAGAGAGAGAGAGAGAGAGCACAAGUGGGAGAGGGCAGUGAGAGAGGGAAAUACAGAAUCCAAAGUAGGCUCUAGGCUCCGGACUGUCAGCACGGAGCCUGACGCGGGGCUUGAACUCACGAACCGGGAAAUCAUGACCUGAGCGCAAGUGGGACACUCAAUCCACUGAGCCACCCAGGCAACCCCUGAUGUGGCUCUUCAUCCCAGGCAAACAUGGUGAUUAUUACCAGGGCUGGCUGUGGAUGAAGAAAGACAUGCCAGGGAAUUAAAAAAAAAAAAAAAAAAGGCACUGGGCCAGCAUAGAGAAAUGUUCCAGCACAAGGUAACACUGUCACAGCACUUACCUUUCACUGGGCUUCCUCCCUUCCCACCCGCUGCUGCACUUGUUGGGUCACUGACCACGCACAGGAAAUACUGUGUUAAUUCUAAACGUCACACUUCUCACAUCAUUUGGGACUGAUUUAGGAAAAGACUUACACUGGUCUUAUGCAAAAUAUGAAAUGAGAGAAGAGAAAAUAAAAUAAUUGUUUUUUUAGGUAAACGAGAUACC
Molecule: long non-coding RNA, 2212 nt
Filed under: Felis catus (domestic cat)
Lineage: Eukaryota; Metazoa; Chordata; Mammalia; Carnivora; Felidae
Description: lncRNA (ENSFCAG00000042067.2)
Source: RNAcentral